Ruditapes philippinarum (Manila clam) is the source of this 3600-nucleotide long non-coding RNA. RefSeq lists it as uncharacterized. The record is from RefSeq and is a predicted model, not a curated record. NCBI's taxonomy places the organism in Eukaryota, Metazoa, Mollusca, Bivalvia, Venerida, Veneridae. The transcript is spliced from 4 exons.
AAAUAUGCAUAGAGAACACGGUAUUAUACAUAAUUGUAUGAUGUAAUAACUGAAUAGACAUACAAAAUACUACUGUUGGAAGAUACAGAGUCGGUAGCAAGCCGAUCUUUACAACAGUAAGAAUUAUGUACAGUGGUAAUUCAUUGUUUUUGGAGUGUUAUUCCUUUUGUUGAUAUAAUGGGAUGCUUAUAAACUACUUGUGUGAUAAGAAAUACUUUGAAAAACGCCAAAAUAUAUGUGAGUUUUAUUAAUUGCAUAAGAAAUGAGACUCAGAGGAUUUAUUUUACAGCGGAUAUUAAUUUAAAUGCAGCAAAUAGGAUUCGUUUUUUACUAGUUGCUUUACAAUGGAUAACAUUUGUAAACUGUGUUAUUCAGUACAAAAGAUAUUCCUACAACGUUUUCUCGGCUAUCGGGGAUGUUAACAUGUGCAUUCGAAGUGCGACGGUGAUGCUUUUUGAUUCUGCAAACUGAGAGCACUUAUAUAAGCAGCCUUGGUAAUAGGAAAAAUAUGCAUAGAGAACACGGUAUUAUACAUUAUUGUAUGAUGUAAUUACUGAAUAGACAUACAAAAUACUACUGUUGGAAUGUAAAGAGUUGGUAGCAAGCCGAUCUCUACAAUAGUACAAAUUGUGUGUACUGGUAAUUCGGUGAUUUUGGAGUGUUAUUUGUCAUGUUGAUAGAAUGGAAUGCUUAUAAACUACUUGUGUGAUAAGAAAUACCAUGAAAAACGUCACUUUUUGUGAGUUUUAUUAAUUGCAUAAGAAAGGAGACUAAGAGGAUAUAUUUAAAAGUGGAUAUUAAUUCAAGAGCGGGAAAUAGGAUUCAUUUUUGUAACUAGUUGCUUAGAUUGGAUAAUAUCUAUACACUCUGCUGAUCAAGGCAAAGUCAUUUUGGGAAUAAAACUUUCGUUUCGGUAAUACGGAAGUGGACACAUAUGACAGUUAGAGAUAAGAUACAGUGAUCUCGUAAUGUUUCUUCUUCAUGCAGCUAAUGAUAUAAUUAAAAUUAACCAGGAUAAUCUAAAACUUAAAUAGGAAUUUGAGUAAAACAAACAAAGAAUCAACAACAGAAUAUCAAUAUCCUAUUUUGAAAGUAGACAAUCAAUGACCUAGUCAUUUCUUACUGUGAAACGGCAAAAUGGGUGAUAAAACAGAUGAAGGAAAUUAUAGACCAGAAGGCAAACCAAAUAUCACCAAAUGUUCAAAAUUAAAAUCAGAAAAUCAGAAUAAAAAGACAAAAUUUACACCAGAAACUGAGGCAAAAGAUGUCAAAAAGCCAAAUUUAAUCACUAAUGUUCCGGAUACAAAUCUUCCACUCGCUUGCCUUGUUUCUUUAUGUUUUAAUUUUCCAUUAGGUAUCAUUGCAAUGUACUUAUCGCUUUCCGCCGCUAGACUUUAUAGAGAUGGAAAUGUUGUAAGAGGUGAAAAGAGAGCAAAGUUAUCUGUGUUUUUAAGUCUGUUUAGUAUUGUAACAACUGUUCUUAUUGUAACGGCUAUAGUUGUUUGGAUUGUGAUAGACAAUCAGACUAAAAGGGAAAUGAAGAAAUUAAAAACCUGAUUUUUACACUACAAAAGGUGAUAAGAGUGAAGUUGUAUUUGUGUCCAACAAAGAGAUUGUGACAGUUAUAGAGAACCAACAAUUUUGUGAGCAUAAAAUCAUGUAAAGUGUGACUACUUUGUUGACAACAAAAUUAUUUAGAGCGUAGUAACUAAAGUAUACACAAACGAAUCAUAACACUCAAAUGUUUGCCUGUUGAUGCCUUUUCAAAGUUUUAUUUUAUCAUUGACAGAUAAGUGUAUUUUCACUCAGUAUUUUAUAAUCAAACUUUUUACAUUUUCAUGCUUUUUGGUUACAUUAUUUCAGAAAAGAUUUUUAAGACAUAUGUCUAAAAUACCAGGUGUUACGAUUUAUAAUUCAAAAUUGUUUGAUGCCAGUCUAUCCGUCCAUUAGCAUUAUAUGAUUUUAAACAUAGUAUGAAAUGAAUUGUAAAAUGAUAUAUCUUCUGACCAAGAAAUAACUGAAUUAACUAAAUGUUUAUCUGUUAUUUGCAUAUUCUUGAUAACGCAUUUUAGGAUGAAAACAAAUCAGUAUUGUUUUAACAACGAGUGGAUACAACAUAUAAAUAAUGAAACAUCGAGAAAGGGAUAAGUGUUCUGAUCAUAUCUUCUAGUUACAAUAUUACACAAAUGGCAAUCAGUAUUACUUACAAUAACAUAGCUCAAAGAAACAGCACAUUGCCAAUAUUCCAAUUAUAAAUAUGGAUCUUUUUGUUUGUAUUGUUUGCAAUUGUGAGUUAUUACUUUUGAUGAGCCUUUAAAGACCAUUGUUGUUUACCUUUUAAAUGUUUUAAAUUAGAUAUAAUCAUGGUGCUUCUUUUUUGUAAAAAAACAACACCAAAAAAAUAAAAAGCGAUAACAUAUCAUUAUAAAACUUUUUUAUGAAUAAUGUGAAUAAACAAAAUAUUUAAAUUCAUUCAAUUGUAAUCAUGGAUUGUCACUUCAAUACAAGACGAAAUUUAAAUAUUUGCAUAAUAACAAAGCUUAUACGCCUUCAUAUUGAUCGUAACAUGUAAAUAAUUAUACUGUAUCAGACUAGAAGACUAAGUAAUGUUUUCAUACGUAGCAUAACUGUCCAAAAUUAUUUUUUUUCCAUCCAUAAGCAGUAAAUUUUCGGUUCCACGUUGUUCAGAAAGGGAUGUGCGGCAUAAACGAAUACAUCAACAUGCAAUUUUCUGAACAUAUUUCACAUUAGAAAUUAUUUUGCAGUUACUGUAUUAGUAAAGUUAUGUAUAUGUCGCCAUUGAGUUUAUAUUUUAUUUUUAUAUUUUUAACCCGAAUUGUCCCAAAUUGUAGCCUUAUAAUAUUAAGGCAUUUUACCAAAAGGUUCAAAUGGAAUCAUGCUUUUAUGCUUUUAUCUUUUUUUGAUAUUUGUCUGAGAAUAAGCGUUCAUAUUGUGCUAAUGUAUAAAAAUAAAAAGCUGUCGGUGUAAGUUGUGCGCAUACAAUUAAGUUGAUAAUAGAAAUUAAGCGUAAGGAAAGUUUAUUAAUUUGUUCAGAAGAAUACUCAUUUUACAAUCAAAGCAACCAAUUAAGUUGCUUAUAAAUUUUAUAAAAUUAACUUUUUUACCCUCCAGCAUAUAACUUAUCAUUCAGAUCAUGUCUGUGGAUAUUUAGUGCCUUAUGUUAUAAUGUUGGUGGUAUUUAGUACUACUAUUAUACAACAAAUCACCUAAAAAGAUGAUGUUUGUGAGAGGUAUAGUCCGAUUCAAUAUCUCUCUAUACAUAUUACAGAUAUAAUAAAAUUGUCCAGAACAAACAAUUAUUAGUCACAAUAUAAAACUUUAUACUUAAUUAUUUGUAACUCUUCAAAUAUUCUUUUCAAGAAUAUCAUAAUUUCUGUUGUUUUUAUCUAUCUUUGAAAUACUGAAAAGAGUGCACAUUAUAAAACAAUCCACAUUAAUCAUUGCAAUAAAGUGCUAUAUAAUCAAUUAUUGAACAUGUAUCUUUGCAAUGUUAAAUAGACAGCUAUACUCCUGAAAACUGUAUUCAUUGUUAUGUAUCGACAAUAUUGUUAAUAUAUCAGUAUUAAAUUAUUUUCACAA